UGCUGUAGGGCAGGGAUUGCCAACCAGUGGGGCAUGGACCACUGGGGGUCCGCAAGAAAAUUGUGGUGGUCUGCAGAGAAAUGUCACCUCCAAAGCAAUUAAUCCAGCCUGUGUGGGAAAACAAG
Molecule: non-coding RNA, 125 nt
Organism: Pseudonaja textilis
Lineage: Eukaryota; Metazoa; Chordata; Lepidosauria; Squamata; Elapidae
Source: RefSeq, a predicted model, not a curated record